UACGUAGGGGGGCAAGCGUUGUCCGGAAUCAUUGGGCGUAAAGCGCGCGUAGGCGGCUCGAUCAGUCUGCUGUGAAAGUCAAAGGCUCAACCUUUGAAUGCCGGUGGAAACUGUCGGGCUAGAGUCCGGAAGAGGCGAGUGGAAUUCCUGGUGUAGCGGUGAAAUGCGCAGAUAUCAGGAGGAACACCGGUGGCGAAGGCGGGUCUCUGGGCAGUGAACUGACGCUGAGGCGCGAAAGCCAGGGGAGCGAACGGG
This 255-nucleotide ribosomal RNA is filed under the name uncultured bacterium. Its description in RNAcentral is "partial 16S ribosomal RNA". It matches the Rfam family "Bacterial small subunit ribosomal RNA", at positions 524 to 776 of the family's 1533-position model. The record is from RNAcentral.